UCUGAGGGUUUUAUAACUUCUCUUGGCUGUGUAUGUAAUUUUCUAAUCAGAGUUUGUUGGGUUCUUUUUCAGGAGUCCAUAGUCUCUUGUUUCCUCUUCUAUCUUCCUGUAGCACUGCAAUCUUUCUGGUGUUGCAGCAGCAAGCCACCUACUCUCCUUUAAUAUCAAUGGCCUCUUGGUAUCCAAAGUAUGCCAAUUCAAGCACCCUAAGUCAAGAGAGACAGAAACCGAUCCUUUGGAUAGGCUUUCCCCAAUCCCUAAACUGAACUGCUGCAUAUACUUGCUGUGUUCUUUUCUCUUCUACCUAAGGAAUAAGUUGGAAUUGGUUGCCUUCUUCCCAUAACAGUGAGCCAUGUCAGCUUCUGUACUAUUUCAGACUCUCCAGUGUCACUGCAAGCUGCCACUCCUCUCACUUGCUUUCAGUGGCCCCUAGGCAUGCAAACUAUGCUGGUUUCAUCAGCACUCCAAGUCAGAUGAAACAAAUCAGUUCCUUGGGCAGCCUUCAAACAACUAAAACAUUGGAUGCUUAUUCUACUCUGAUGAUCAUAGUGAGCUAUGCUGACUAAGAAGGUGCAGAGAUCAUAGUAAUAAGAACCACUUCAACAGGCAUAUGGAGUGAAGGAAAACUGGUACGAAAGGCAGUUUGGGGAACAGCACUCCAGAGCCAGACUGCCUGGAUUUGAAUCUUGGCUCUACCAUUAUUAGCUGUGUAACAUCGGAUAUGUAUUUCAAGAAGAAAUUAAUUCUCUACAAAAUCAAGUUUAAGAGAAAAAAAUCUAAAACAGCUGUAACUUGCAAAGGAAAAAAUUAAAGAAGAUGGUUGUAAAACUCUUUAUUCAAUUCAUUCAACCUUGUGAAGCCAGUGGUUUGAUCAAGCUAUUCCUUCUAAAGUCAAAAGAUGUUGUUAUCCUGUCUGUGGUUCUGCAUAUACUACCUGGUACUUUAGAUAGUGCCAUGACAUUUUUGAGAUAUUUCUGCAAUCAGAAUGAAGUUAACAAUACUAAAUAUGUGUAGAAAUAUAUUUUGUCUGGAAAAAAUUAGAAUCUUAAAAUUCACAGGAUAUUACUUUUAUUUAUAGCCGUAUUUUGAGGCACAAAUACUCUUUUCUCUUAGUUACUCAACAGUGCCCCCCUGCUUUGGAAAGUAGAUUUAAAGUAUAUUCAAAAUCUGUUAAUAUUUCAAUGAAUCUGUUUCACAAAAACAGAAACAGAUAUGAUAUGGUUUUACACAGUAAGAAUAAGAAAUUAGGCCCUUAAAAAGGCAAAAAACAUAGUUCAAAUGUCAUAUAAAAUAGUUUGUCAAAAGAACAUGAAUCUCAUUAGUGAUUAUAAAAUUAAUCUUCCAGACUACAAGAACCUUAUACAAAUACGAGUAUCACUUAAGAAAACUAUUUUCCCAAGUGACCUAAUCAGUUUUCUAAAAAGGAAUGAGUCUUCCCUUUUACAUAAAAACAGGGGAAUCAUAUUAACUUUUCAUUUAAUAGCCAAUUUGGGAUGCUGUAUCUAUAGUUAAUGGGACAAGACUGUCAUUAAUUCAUUGUGCAUCUUCAGCUACCAGAGAGACCUAUACAGGCCUCUAAACCAGAAUCUUUGUCUUUAGCCAAUAUUUAAUGACAAAUUACCUGGCUCAAAGGAAUUUUUAUGGAAUUAAAGUGGUGGUAACAAUCAAGUUGGCUAUUUAGACUUUAACCAUUUCAACAUGAUACAGUGACUACCCUCUCCCUCCAAAGUUACUCAGAAAACAGUACAGUAUAAAAACAUAGAAAAUUCCUUCCGAAACUGCUAACUUUCCCCCUUUGGUACCCUUAUCCCUUUCAGCCAAGUGCAAAGUGCAAGGCAAAAUAAAUUAAGGCAAAAGGAAAAUAAAAUAAGAAAAAUGGUGAGGGCGAGCAUGUUGUUGACCAUGUAAGAUAACACGUGCAAAUUAUACCUCAGAUACACUAUAGGUAGAUGAGCACGAGGGAAGCCGAGCCUGGUUUUGCAGUGGGGAAAAGAAAACACUGUUAAAGAGGAAAUGAUAGCAUAGUAAGGGUCUCAGAAGAUUAGAUUGCUCCAUCACCAACACAUUUGCCAGAUAACAAGACAGCCUUAUAAGCAGACACCUGAGUUUGGAAAUCUCAAGGUUCAAGAUAUUGGAGAACCUUGUGAUUAAAAAAGAAUACCGAGCUAAAAAAAAAAAAAAAAAAAA
Molecule: long non-coding RNA, 2187 nt
Organism: Mustela erminea (ermine)
Lineage: Eukaryota; Metazoa; Chordata; Mammalia; Carnivora; Mustelidae
Exons: 3
Source: RefSeq, a predicted model, not a curated record